UUUCAAUAGGAAGUUGAAAAUGGGUCUAUGAAAUACUUCUGGCAUAUCAUCAACCCUUUCAUUUUUCUUGAUAAGCAUCUUCUCACUUUGUAACACUGGAGGAAAUUAAGAAAGGCCAGUGUAAAACUCAGUCUUUGGCUUCUGAUGAGUCUACCAUGAUACUGACAACCUACCAGCUGAAGAGAAGUCUCUACAUGGACUGUGCAAAAGAGAUUCAGAGGCGUCUACUGAAUUUCAACCAUAAAUUGUCUAGUAUAAAGGAAGAUAAGUGUCCCUGCUGAAGAAGAAUGGAAACAUAAUGGAAUCAAUUCGGUGUGUCUGUGGAAAGAACUUAUUUCUCCAUUCCCCCAGGAUCCAGAUAAUUUAUCAUUGAGGUCUGGCAGCCAAGAUGGCCGAAUAGGAACAGCUCUGGUCUAC
RNAcentral lists this long non-coding RNA (417 nucleotides) under Homo sapiens (human). Its description in RNAcentral is "HSALNT0041913". Lineage: Eukaryota; Metazoa; Chordata; Mammalia; Primates; Hominidae. The record is from RNAcentral.